Molecule: ribosomal RNA, 292 nt
Filed under: uncultured bacterium
Lineage: Bacteria
Description: partial 16S ribosomal RNA
Source: RNAcentral
GGACUACACGGGUAUCUAAUCCCGUUCGCUCCCCUGGCUUUCGUGUCUCAGCGUCAGCACAACCCCAGCGACCUGUUUUCACCAUUGGCGUUCCAAACGAUAUCUACGCAUUUCACCGCUCCACCGUUUGUUCCGGUCGCCCCUAGUUGGCUCAAGACACCCAGUAUACCAAGCAGUUCCACGGUUAAGCCGUGGGAUUUCACAAGGUACUUAGGAAUCCGCCUACACACGCUUUAAGCCCAGUGAUUCCGCCUAACGCUCGGCACCUCUGUCUUACCGCGGCUGCUGGCAC